This 559-nucleotide ribosomal RNA is filed under the name uncultured bacterium. RNAcentral describes it as "bacterial SSU rRNA". It matches the Rfam family "Bacterial small subunit ribosomal RNA", at positions 119 to 674 of the family's 1533-position model. The record is from RNAcentral.
CGGAAUCUACUCUUUCGUGGGGGAUAACGUAGGGAAACUUACGCUAAUACCGCAUACGACCUACGGGUGAAAGCCGGGGACCUUCGGGCCUGGCGCGAAUGAAUGAGCCGAUGCCCGAUUAGCUAGUUGGCGGGGUAAGAGCCCACCAAGGCGACGAUCGGUAGCUGGUCUGAGAGGAUGGUCAGCCACACUGGAACUGAGACACGGUCCAGACUCCUACGGGAGGCAGCAGUGGGGAAUAUUGGACAAUGGGCGCGAGCCUGAUCCAGCCAUACCGCGUGGGUGAAGAAGGCCUUCGGGUUGUAAAGCCCUUUUGUUGGGAAAGAAAAGCAGCCGGUUAAUACCCGGUUGUUCUGACGGUACCCAAAGAAUAAGCACCGGCUAACUUCGUGCCAGCAGCCGCGGUAAUACGAAGGGUGCAAGCGUUACUCGGAAUUACUGGGCGUAAAGCGUGCGUAGGUGGUUGUUUAAGUCUGUCGUGAAAGCCCUGGGCUCAACCUGGGAAUUGCGAUGGAAACUGGGCGACUAGAGUGUGGCAGAGGAUAGUGGAAUUCCUGGU